AUUGAACGCUGGCGGCAGGCUUAACACAUGCAAGUCGAGCGGUAAGAGAGAGAAGCUUGCUUCUCUGCUGACGAGCGGCGGACGGGUGAGUAAUGCCUAGGAAUCUGCCUAGUAGUGGGGGAUAACUUGCCGAAAGGUAAGCUAAUACCGCAUACGUCCUACGGGAGAAAGGAGGGGACCUUCGGGCCUUUCGCUAUUAGAUGAGCCUAGGUCGGAUUAGUUAGUUGGUGAGGUAAUGGCUCACCAAGACCGCGAUCCGUAACUGGUCUGAGAGGAGGAUCAGUCACACUGGAACUGAGACACCGUCCAGACUCCUACGGGAGGCAGCAGUGGGGCAUAUUGGACAAUGGGGGGAACCCUGAUCCAGCCAUGCCGCGUGUGUGAAGAAGGUCUUAGGAUUGUAAAGCACUUUAAGUUGGGAGGAAGAGCAGUUAACUAAUAUUUGACUGUUUUGACGUUACCGACAGAAUAAGCACCGGCUAACUUCGUGCCAGCAGCCGCCGUAA
This 506-nucleotide ribosomal RNA is filed under the name uncultured bacterium. RNAcentral describes it as "partial 16S ribosomal RNA". It matches the Rfam family "Bacterial small subunit ribosomal RNA", at positions 30 to 523 of the family's 1533-position model. The record is from RNAcentral.